Molecule: long non-coding RNA, 964 nt
Organism: Mandrillus leucophaeus (drill)
Lineage: Eukaryota; Metazoa; Chordata; Mammalia; Primates; Cercopithecidae
Exons: 3
Source: RefSeq, a predicted model, not a curated record
GAGCAGCCAGAAGCAAGGUGGGGUGAACCAGACAGAGCUGGAGUGCUCUCCCACCCCUGCUUUGCCCAGCCACCCCGCCAAGCCCAUGAUUCCAGGCAGGAGACAAGGUCUCAUUCUGUUGCCUAGGCUGGAGUGCAGUGGUGCAAUCAUGGUUCACUGCAGCCUGGAACUCCAGGGCUCAGGCAAUCCUCCUGCCUCAGCCUGCCGAGUAGCUGUGACCAGAGGUGUGCGCCACCAUGACCAGCUAAGAUUUCACCAUGUUGCACAGCUGGUCUUGAACUCCUGGCCUCAAGCAAUGCUCCUGCUUCAGGCUCUCAAGUUGCUGGAAUUACAGGGCUGCACGGAGCCUGCCGAGUCUCCAACCCACCUCGCUCGCCGCUCUGACUGCCGACAGGCAGAGCGAAGGAUGCGCGAGUUGCCUCUGCUGCCCAUCUAAGGGGACGUGGGCAGAGAAGCAAAGGCCUCUACUCUCCCUCCACCCAUCCCAAUGUGCUGGCCCCAACGGAACAGGAGUCCUUCAGCUAUUGCCUGCCAGAGACCCAACGGCAGGGACUGGAGUCUGCGUCUGGGUGAGCUGAGCUGAGCUGUAGAUUGAAGUCUCAGAAGCAGGGAAGGUUGGAAGGGGUAGGGUCCCAGAGCCCAUGGGGUUAUUGCUGAGAAGAUAUGCAGGGGACACAUUCCCCAGGGGCAGAGUAGAAGCCCUGGGCCUGGAAUCUCCGGGGGCUCUGUGAAGGGGCAGGGCAGAUGGGGACUCCUUGUGGAAGCCCCAGGGAAGAAAUUGACCAUGGAAGGACAUAGCCUGCCUGAAGUCAACGCUGGGCUCACCAGCUCCUUGCUUUGUAUCUCCAAUUGCUAAGAGACCUUCAGACUGGGGUCAGGUGGGAUAAGGAAGCAAGGUUUUUGUUAAAUGAGUGAAAGGAGUCCAUGAAGAAUGAUGACAAAGUGCUGCAAACCUUCCCAGGUC